Molecule: ribosomal RNA, 288 nt
Filed under: uncultured bacterium
Lineage: Bacteria
Description: partial 16S ribosomal RNA
Rfam family: Bacterial small subunit ribosomal RNA
Source: RNAcentral
UUGCCUACGGGGGGCAGCAGUGAGGAAUAUUGGUCAAUGGGAGAGAUCCUGAACCAGCCAAGCCGCGUGAGGGAAGACGGCCCUAUGGGUUGUAAACCUCUUUUGUCGGGGAGCAAAAGACGCCACGCGUGGCGUUCCGAGAGUACCCGAAGAAAAAGCAUCGGCUAACUCCGUGCCAGCAGCCGCGGUAAUACGGAGGAUGCGAGCGUUAUCCGGAUUUAUUGGGUUUAAAGGGUGCGCAGGCGGAAGAUCAAGUCAGCGGUAAAAUUGAGAGGCUCAACCUCUUCG